GAGGGUACAGCUCAGUGGUAGAGCAUGUGCUUAGCAUGCACAAGGUCAUGGGUUCAUUCCCCAGUACCUACA
Molecule: transfer RNA, 72 nt
Organism: Camelus ferus (Wild Bactrian camel)
Lineage: Eukaryota; Metazoa; Chordata; Mammalia; Artiodactyla; Camelidae
Rfam family: tRNA
About the family: Transfer RNA (tRNA) molecules are approximately 80 nucleotides in length. Their secondary structure includes four short double-helical elements and three loops (D, anti-codon, and T loops).
Source: Rfam